Molecule: long non-coding RNA, 724 nt
Filed under: Rattus norvegicus (Norway rat)
Lineage: Eukaryota; Metazoa; Chordata; Mammalia; Rodentia; Muridae
Description: long non-coding RNA NONRATT001573
Source: RNAcentral
AUGCCUUAUUGGAGGAACUGGAAUGCUGCACCCUUCAGGACAGUGAGGACUAUUCAAAUCCAGUUUCUUGUUGCCUGGAUCAGCAACCCACACAGGAGAGCAAGCUUCCCCAAACACCAAAGACCUUGUCAACGCAGGGUAACACAAGUCCCUUGAAGGUGCAGCUCGUGUAUACAACCAAUAUCCAGGAACCCAAUGUCUACAGUGAGGUCCAAGAGCCAAAACAAUCAGUCUUACCUCCUAAGACCUCAGCAGCUGCUCAGUUGGAUGAGCUCAUGGCCCACCUGAACGAACUUCAGGCCAAGGUUUCAGUGAAAGCAGAUGCUAGCAGGAAACCCUUGCCAGACAAGCUAAUAGAGUAAAAACAAGGAACAAGUAAAGGCAUUUGUAGAUGUUUCUAGGCUUAUAAUCUUAAUUUUGAAGAUGCUUCUCAUUACUUUUUAAUUAUGUAUUUGCAUUUAGAUUCAGAUCAUGCUGUCAAGACCCCCAAAAGGUAUAUUUCUUAUGUGCACAGUUCUUUUCACUGCUGAUUUUCUCUUUCUCACUUUUUACUUCUACUGAUGCCCCAUUCAGACCUUAUGGGUCACAAAGUUUUACUCUCUCUUUGCUAUCAGGGGUCAGGACAUUACUCUUAAACCCUCAAUGUCUCUGCAUUUUGCUUUUUAUGUGGAAGUGUAUUUUAACUGACACGUGUGAUGAAUAAAGCAGCUUGUGGUUUUGGUGA